This 2928-nucleotide ribosomal RNA is filed under the name Klebsiella grimontii. RNAcentral's name for it is "23S ribosomal RNA". It matches the Rfam family "Bacterial large subunit ribosomal RNA". Lineage: Bacteria; Pseudomonadati; Pseudomonadota; Gammaproteobacteria; Enterobacterales; Enterobacteriaceae. The record is from RNAcentral.
GGGUUGUGAGGUUAAGCGACUAAGCGUACACGGUGGAUGCCCUGGCAGUCAGAGGCGAUGAAGGACGUGCUAAUCUGCGAAAAGCGUCGGUAAGGUGAUAUGAACCGUUAUAGCCGGCGAUGUCCGAAUGGGGAAACCCAGUGCAAUUCGUUGCACUAUCGUUUGAUGAAUACAUAGUCAAACGAGGCGAACCGGGGGAACUGAAACAUCUAAGUACCCCGAGGAAAAGAAAUCAACCGAGAUUCCCCCAGUAGCGGCGAGCGAACGGGGAGCAGCCCGGAGUCUGAAUCAGCUUGUGUGUUAGUGGAAGCGUCUGGAAAGUCGCAGGGUACAGGGUGAUACUCCCGUACACUAAAACACACAGGUUGUGAACUCGAAGAGUAGGGCGGGACACGUGGUAUCCUGUCUGAAUAUGGGGGGACCAUCCUCCAAGGCUAAAUACUCCUGACUGACCGAUAGUGAACCAGUACCGUGAGGGAAAGGCGAAAAGAACCCCGGCGAGGGGAGUGAAAAAGAACCUGAAACCGUGUACGUACAAGCAGUAGGAGCCUCUUUAUGGGGUGACUGCGUACCUUUUGUAUAAUGGGUCAGCGACUUAUAUUCUGUAGCAAGGUUAACCGUAUAGGGGAGCCGCAGGGAAACCGAGUCUUAACUGGGCGUUAAGUUGCAGGGUAUAGACCCGAAACCCGGUGAUCUAGCCAUGGGCAGGUUGAAGGUUGGGUAACACUAACUGGAGGACCGAACCGACUAAUGUUGAAAAAUUAGCGGAUGACUUGUGGCUGGGGGUGAAAGGCCAAUCAAACCGGGAGAUAGCUGGUUCUCCCCGAAAGCUAUUUAGGUAGCGCCUCGUGAAUUCAUCUUCGGGGGUAGAGCACUGUUUCGGCUAGGGGGUCAUCCCGACUUACCAACCCGAUGCAAACUACGAAUACCGAAGAAUGUUAUCACGGGAGACACACGGCGGGUGCUAACGUCCGUCGUGAAGAGGGAAACAACCCAGACCGCCAGCUAAGGUCCCAAAGUCAUGGUUAAGUGGGAAACGAUGUGGGAAGGCCCAGACAGCCAGGAUGUUGGCUUAGAAGCAGCCAUCAUUUAAAGAAAGCGUAAUAGCUCACUGGUCGAGUCGGCCUGCGCGGAAGAUGUAACGGGGCUAAACCAUGCACCGAAGCUGCGGCAGCGACACUAUGUGUUGUUGGGUAGGGGAGCGUUCUGUAAGCCGUUGAAGGUGGCCUGUGAGGGUUGCUGGAGGUAUCAGAAGUGCGAAUGCUGACAUAAGUAACGAUAAUGCGGGUGAAAAACCCGCACGCCGGAAGACCAAGGGUUCCUGUCCAACGUUAAUCGGGGCAGGGUGAGUCGACCCCUAAGGCGAGGCCGAAAGGCGUAGUCGAUGGGAAACAGGUUAAUAUUCCUGUACUCGGUGUUACUGCGAAGGGGGGACGGAGAAGGCUAUGUUGGCCGGGCGACGGUUGUCCCGGUUUAAGCAUGUAGGCGGAUGUUCCAGGUAAAUCCGGAACGUUACUAACGCUGAGGUGUGAUGACGAGGCACUACGGUGCUGAAGUGACAAAUGCCCUGCUUCCAGGAAAAGCCUCUAAGCAUCAGGUAACAUCAAAUCGUACCCCAAACCGACACAGGUGGUCAGGUAGAGAAUACCAAGGCGCUUGAGAGAACUCGGGUGAAGGAACUAGGCAAAAUGGUGCCGUAACUUCGGGAGAAGGCACGCUGAUAUGUAGGUGAAGUGGUUUACCCAUGGAGCUGAAAUCAGUCGAAGAUACCAGCUGGCUGCAACUGUUUAUUAAAAACACAGCACUGUGCAAACACGAAAGUGGACGUAUACGGUGUGACGCCUGCCCGGUGCCGGAAGGUUAAUUGAUGGGGUUAUCCGUAAGGAGAAGCUCUUGAUCGAAGCCCCGGUAAACGGCGGCCGUAACUAUAACGGUCCUAAGGUAGCGAAAUUCCUUGUCGGGUAAGUUCCGACCUGCACGAAUGGCGUAAUGAUGGCCAGGCUGUCUCCACCCGAGACUCAGUGAAAUUGAACUCGCUGUGAAGAUGCAGUGUACCCGCGGCAAGACGGAAAGACCCCGUGAACCUUUACUAUAGCUUGACACUGAACACUGGUCCUUGAUGUGUAGGAUAGGUGGGAGGCUUUGAAGUGUGGACGCCAGUCUGCAUGGAGCCAUCCUUGAAAUACCACCCUUUAAUGGCUGGUGUUCUAACGUGGGCCCCUAAUCGGGGUUGCGGACAGUGUCUGGUGGGUAGUUUGACUGGGGCGGUCUCCUCCUAAAGAGUAACGGAGGAGCACGAAGGUCAGCUAAUCCUGGUCGGACAUCAGGAGGUUAGUGCAAUGGCAUAAGCUGGCUUGACUGCGAGCGUGACGGCGCGAGCAGGUGCGAAAGCAGGUCAUAGUGAUCCGGUGGUUCUGAAUGGAAGGGCCAUCGCUCAACGGAUAAAAGGUACUCCGGGGAUAACAGGCUGAUACCGCCCAAGAGUUCAUAUCGACGGCGGUGUUUGGCACCUCGAUGUCGGCUCAUCACAUCCUGGGGCUGAAGUAGGUCCCAAGGGUAUGGCUGUUCGCCAUUUAAAGUGGUACGCGAGCUGGGUUUAGAACGUCGUGAGACAGUUCGGUCCCUAUCUGCCGUGGGCGCUGGAGAAUUGAGGGGGGCUGCUCCUAGUACGAGAGGACCGGAGUGGACGCAUCACUGGUGUUCGGGUUGUCAUGCCAAUGGCAUUGCCCGGUAGCUAAAUGCGGAAGAGAUAAGUGCUGAAAGCAUCUAAGCACGAAACUUGCCCCGAGAUGAGUUCUCCCUGACUCCUUGAGAGUCCUGAAGGAACGUUGAAGACGACGACGUUGAUAGGCCGGGUGUGUAAGCGCAGCGAUGCGUUGAGCUAACCGGUACUAAUGAACCGUGAGGCUUAACCUUACAACGCCGAAG